Molecule: ribosomal RNA, 522 nt
Filed under: Bifidobacterium adolescentis
Lineage: Bacteria; Bacillati; Actinomycetota; Actinomycetes; Bifidobacteriales; Bifidobacteriaceae
Description: bacterial SSU rRNA
Rfam family: Bacterial small subunit ribosomal RNA
Source: RNAcentral
GGUAAUGCCGGAUGCUCCAGUUGGAUGCAUGUCCUUCUGGGAAAGAUUCAUCGGUAUGGGAUGGGGUCGCGUCCUAUCAGCUUGAUGGCGGGGUAACGGCCCACCAUGGCUUCGACGGGUAGCCGGCCUGAGAGGGCGACCGGCCACAUUGGGACUGAGAUACGGCCCAGACUCCUACGGGAGGCAGCAGUGGGGAAUAUUGCACAAUGGGCGCAAGCCUGAUGCAGCGACGCCGCGUGCGGGAUGACGGCCUUCGGGUUGUAAACCGCUUUUGACUGGGAGCAAGCCCUUCGGGGUGAGUGUACCUUUCGAAUAAGCACCGGCUAACUACGUGCCAGCAGCCGCGGUAAUACGUAGGGUGCAAGCGUUAUCCGGAAUUAUUGGGCGUAAAGGGCUCGUAGGCGGUUCGUCGCGUCCGGUGUGAAAGUCCAUCGCUUAACGGUGGAUCCGCGCCGGGUACGGGCGGGCUUGAGUGCGGUAGGGGAGACUGGAAUUCCCGGUGUAACGGUGGAAUGUGUAGAU